UACGAAGGGGGCUAGCGUUGUUCGGAAUUACUGGGCGUAAAGCGCGUGUAGGCGGUUGUCCAAGUUGGAUGUGAAAGCCUUGAGCUUAACUCAAGAAAUGCAUUCAGGACUGGAUGACUAGAGGACAGGAGAGGAUAGUGGAAUUCCCAGUGUAGUGGUGAAAUACGUAGAGAUUGGGAAGAACACCAGUGGCGAAGGCGGCUAUCUGGACGGUUUCUGACGCUAAGACGCGAAAGCGUGGGGAGCAAACAGG
RNAcentral lists this ribosomal RNA (253 nucleotides) under uncultured bacterium. RNAcentral's name for it is "partial 16S ribosomal RNA". It matches the Rfam family "Bacterial small subunit ribosomal RNA", at positions 524 to 776 of the family's 1533-position model. The record is from RNAcentral.